UUAUGAUGUGCCUCUAGUUUAGUUUGUCGGUUUGUGCGAACCGAUUUUCUCUAUGUAUGAUGAUGAUGUAUUGCUGUUGUUAGCUGUAAACAUGAGUUGACUUGAUGGCUGUCAUUGGAAUGGAUUAUCUCUUGUGAAGCUUACUGCUAGUUAAUAUGAGUUAAACUAUGACCAUUAUCUUCCUGAUCAAUCAGUUAAUAUGAGUUUGUAGAAGGCAAGAAGUUGCCGUAAAGCUCAAGGAAGGAGAGCUACUGGUGAAUGCAUAACUACCAUUUACCCAUGUCUGGCCUCAUUUAACUUGCAAGAUACCACUUUGAUUUAUU
RNAcentral lists this long non-coding RNA (323 nucleotides) under Triticum aestivum (bread wheat). RNAcentral's name for it is "long non-coding RNA (TAES_LNC018721)". Lineage: Eukaryota; Viridiplantae; Streptophyta; Magnoliopsida; Poales; Poaceae. The record is from RNAcentral.